UACGUAGGGGGCAAGCGUUGUCCGGAAUUAUUGGGCGUAAAGGGCGUGUAGGCGGCCAGGUAGGUCUGCUGUGAAAACUCGAGGCUCAACCUCGAGAUGUCGGCGGAAACCAUCUGGCUAGAGUCCGGAAGAGGAGAAUGGAAUUCCCGGUGUAGCGGUGAAAUGCGCAGAUAUCGGGAAGAACACCCGUGGCGAAGGCGGUUCUCUGGGACGGUACUGACGCUGAGACGCGAAAGCGUGGGGAGCGAACAGG
Molecule: ribosomal RNA, 253 nt
Filed under: uncultured bacterium
Lineage: Bacteria
Description: partial 16S ribosomal RNA
Rfam family: Bacterial small subunit ribosomal RNA
Source: RNAcentral